CUUUAUAAAUUGAUCAAAAGGCACUCUACAACUUUUAAUCUUCAAUGUCAUUUAACCUAUGUUUCACCUUAUAAAAUGCCCCAAAACAAUAUUUUUAGAUUAUUUUUGUUGACACUUUAAAGUUUUUAGCUGUUGGUCUAGAUCUUAUGUCUUACAAGGGUAGUUGGUAACAUUUACUAGAAGAAUUGUCAGCAAUAGAUAAUGUUCUUUUGGCCCCACCAUACCUUAAUAUGAAAUUAUUCAAACUAUUCUUCCAAUCUUUCCAUGAGUAAUUUCCAUCAUUUUGAUUUUAAUUGACCUCAGGUUUGAGGUCUGUUGAUCUUUGAUAGAAUUGUCUUUUGUUCAAAUACCAAAUACUGCAUAUUGGUUAUUUUUUGCAUCAGGUUUAGUUUGAUGAUUAAAAGGCCAUUGAAGGAGAUGAUAGACCUCCCCUAUGUUUAAUGUUCAUAUUUUACUGCCUUGUACAAAUCAUUGACACUUUCAGGGUUAAAUAGCCUACAGUGAAAAUUAAACGCACACAAACUUUCACAUAUAUAUGCAGUAUUGCUGUAAGCAGGCAAGUAAUUUUAAUAUAAAAUUGAGAAUGUCAACAAUAUAACAUUUAUUUAUAUUGACUGGCAGUUUGUAUCAUGAAUCAUACAGUGUUUAAGCUUAAUUCUCCUUAUUUUUAUGUUAACUGUUUCUCUAAGAUAGCAACCUGGUAUGUAACUUGUUACUACAAAAAUAGAAAAGUAUAAAUUUACAGGUAAAAAAGUUUACGAGAAAACUGUGGAUUCAUUUUUUUUUCAUGGACAAAAAUUUUUGAUGGAUUGAGGAAAAAUGACAUAAUUUCUUUGAUAUUUGAUUCUUUGGUUUUGUCAAAGUCUUCUAUACAAGUCUAAAGUAAAUGUGUACUUUGAUGGACACUUUAAUUUUUGUUUACUUAUACCCAAGAAAUCCCUGAACAAUAAAAAAAAUCCACAGUAUUUAAGGAGUAGGUUCAGUAAGACCCCUUUUUGGCCCCAAAAUAUAACAGUUUUACAAAAUAGUGAAAAUGUAAUCUUUUGGCUAUUUACUGGAAAGUAGAAUACUUCUACUACAUAAUAUGGGCUGUUUUUGACAAUACAAUGCACAUAUAUCGGGUACUAGCAUCAUUAAGUCAUGCUAAAUUACUGAAAUCUUCACAAUUUUAGCAUUUUAGUUAAAUUUUAGAUGGUUUCCGUCUUAAAUGAAAGUGGCCGCAUUCGUGUUCAUUCUAUAUAUUGAAAUGUAAGUUGUAUUUGAUGAUAAUACGUAACAUAUUUAAAGGUUGAGGAUGAACACGGAUGUGGCCACUUUCAUUUUUGACAAAAACCAUCUGAAAAGUGACGUUUUUUGGCAUAUUUGAUAGAUUUUUCAUGUGUAAGCUUGAAUCGGAGCGUUUUUAAUGACUAAAUCAAUUAAAGUCUUUCACAUAAACUAACUGAAUCAAUUGAAAUAGACACUUAAGUGUUUAGAAAGUGUCCAAAAUCUUUCGUUAGAAUUGAACCUGAAAUUUGAGGCCGGAAUCAGCCCUUACUCCUUGAUUCAUAUAGAUUUUCUUAAUUGAUAUAUAUUUUUUUUGUAAAGCAAAUAAACAAUUUUAAUUCAAAUUAUUGCAAACAAAGAAUUUUUUGGGUUUUGGCAAUUUUUUUUAUGAAACUGUUAUUUCAAUAUUGUAGUCAACAUAUUAGUUUUGAAUCUUUAUUUGAUCUGAAUGGCAAG
Molecule: long non-coding RNA, 1722 nt
Filed under: Mytilus galloprovincialis (Mediterranean mussel)
Lineage: Eukaryota; Metazoa; Mollusca; Bivalvia; Mytilida; Mytilidae
Source: RNAcentral